Molecule: ribosomal RNA, 253 nt
Filed under: uncultured bacterium
Lineage: Bacteria
Description: partial 16S ribosomal RNA
Rfam family: Bacterial small subunit ribosomal RNA
Source: RNAcentral
UACGUAGGGCGCGAGCGUUGUCCGGAUUUAUUGGGCGUAAAGAGCUCGUAGGCGGUUUGUCGCGUCCGCUGUGAAAAUCCAGGGCUUAACCCUGGACCUGCAGUGGGUACGGGCAGACUAGAGUGCGGUAGGGGAGAUCGGAAUUCCAGGUGUAGCGGUGAAAUGCGUAGAUAUCUGGAGGAACACCGGUGGCGAAGGCGGCAUCCUGGACCGGUAUUGACGCUGAGGCGCGAAAGCCAGGGGAGCAAACGGG